This 586-nucleotide ribosomal RNA is filed under the name uncultured bacterium. RNAcentral's name for it is "bacterial SSU rRNA". It matches the Rfam family "Bacterial small subunit ribosomal RNA", at positions 338 to 916 of the family's 1533-position model. The record is from RNAcentral.
CCUACGGGAGGCAGCAGUGGGGAAUUUUGGACAAUGGGGGCAACCCUGAUCCAGCAAUGCCGCGUGAGUGAAGAAGGCCUUCGGGUUGUAAAGCUCUUUUGUCAGGGAAGAAACAGCAGCUCUAACACAGACUGCGAAUGACGGUACCUGAAGAAUAAGCACCGGCUAACUACGUGCCAGCAGCCGCGGUAAUACGUAGGGUGCGAGCGUUAAUCGGAAUUACUGGGCGUAAAGCGUGCGCAGGCGGUUAUACAAGACAGGCGUGAAAUCCCCGGGCUUAACCUGGGAAUGGCGUCUGUGACUGUAUAGCUAGAGUGUGUCAGAGGGGGGUGGAAUUCCACGUGUAGCAGUGAAAUGCGUAGAUAUGUGGAGGAACACCAAUGGCGAAGGCAGCCCCCUGGGAUAACACUGACGCUCAUGCACGAAAGCGUGGGGAGCAAACAGGAUUAGAUACCCUGGUAGUCCACGCCCUAAACGAUGCUGACUAGUUGUUGGGAAUUUACAUUCUCAGUAACGUAGCUAACGCGUGAAGUCAGCCGCCUGGGGAGUACGGUCGCAAGAUUAAAACUCAAAAUGAAAUUGACGG